CUAACACAUGCAAGUCGAACGGGGUUAUUUAGGAAUGUUCCUUCGGGGACAGGAAUUCUUAACCUAGUGGCGGACGGGUGAGUAACGCGUGAGCAAUCUGCCUUUAGGAGGGGGAUAACAGUCGGAAACGGCUGCUAAUACCGCAUGAUACACUGAGGAGGCAUCUCUUUGGUGUCAAAGGAGCAAUCCGCCUUUAGAUGAGCUCGCGUCUGAUUAGCCAGUUGGCGGGGUAACGGCCCACCAAGGCGACGAUCAGUAGCCGGACUGAGAGGUUGAACGGCCACAUUGGGACUGAGACACGGCCCAGACUCCUACGGGAGGCAGCAGUGGGGAAUAUUGCGCAAUGGGGGCAACCCUGACGCAGCAACGCCGCGUGAUUGAAGA
RNAcentral lists this ribosomal RNA (384 nucleotides) under uncultured bacterium. RNAcentral's name for it is "bacterial SSU rRNA". It matches the Rfam family "Bacterial small subunit ribosomal RNA", at positions 48 to 411 of the family's 1533-position model. The record is from RNAcentral.